This 301-nucleotide ribosomal RNA is filed under the name uncultured bacterium. RNAcentral's name for it is "partial 16S ribosomal RNA". It matches the Rfam family "Bacterial small subunit ribosomal RNA", at positions 509 to 807 of the family's 1533-position model. The record is from RNAcentral.
CAGCCGCCACGGGAAUACGUAGGUGGCAAGCGUUGUCCGGAAUUAUUGGGCGUAAAGGGCUCGCAGGCGGUUUCUUAAGUCUGAUGUGAAAGCCCCCGGCUCAACCGGGGAGGGUCAUUGGAAACUGGGAAACUUGAGUGCAGAAGAGGAGAGUGGAAUUCCACGUGUAGCGGUGAAAUGCGUAGAGAUGUGGAGGAACACUAGUGGCGAAGGCGACUCUCUGGUCUGUAACUGACGCUGAGGAGCGAAAGCGUGGGGAGCGAACAGGAUUAGAUACCCCGGUAGUCCCUGUCUCUUAUAC